This is a long non-coding RNA of Pan troglodytes (chimpanzee), 5948 nucleotides long. RefSeq lists it as uncharacterized. The record is from RefSeq and is a predicted model, not a curated record. NCBI's taxonomy places the organism in Eukaryota, Metazoa, Chordata, Mammalia, Primates, Hominidae. The transcript is spliced from 2 exons.
CUUGGCUCACUGCAACCUCGGCCUCCCGGGUUUAAGCGAUUCUCCUGCCUCGGCCUCCCGAGUAGCUGAGAUUACAGGCGCAUGCCACCAUGCCUGGCUAAUUUUUGUAUUUUUAGUAGAGACGGGGUUUCACCAUGUUGGCCAGGCUGGUCUCGAACUCCUGACCUCUCAGGUGAUCCACCCACCUCGGCCUCCCAAAGUGCUGGCAUUACAGGUGUGAGCCACUGCGCCUGGCCUACUUACGCUCUUUAAAUUAUCUUGCUGUCAACUCCUCUUGGGGAUCCUUGGCCCCUUCCCUACCUACAGUGCCAGCCUGCUACUGCCUGGCCCCUUGGCACAGGGCCCAUCCUGCUCAGGACAGGUAGGACUGUCUCCAUCCUUGCACUUUUUUAAAGGAGAGACCAGCUUAAUGUGCUUGCAGAUUUCCUGGGAAAACCUGGGUUUUCUGCCUGAACUGGGAAGCGGAAGGAUGGAACUCUGCUGGCCGUGUCUCUGCUGGGGUUACCUCCAGGCCAAGGUGGUCUGUCCAUUCCCCGCUGCCCCCAACUGCCCAAGCUGGGCCGUUCAUGCAGCUUCCUGGCCUCCCUUCCUGAGCUCAAUGUUGAGUAGCCCCUCUGCUGCAGACAAGCCCCUCGGUGGAGGUGUUGGGGUGAAUGAGGUCCUGCCCGCUUCCACGGCCCACGGGGGCAGUCGGAAGCCAACCACCUUCGCCCAUCAGCCCUCAGGUUUCUAGCUGGGAGAAGCGCCCACAGGGGCAGCUGUUCUGGGUCUGUACAGGGGAGGCAAGGCUGCCCCAGCAGAGUCCAAGGCCACAGAUGACAACAAAACGUGGCCCUCCAGGCCCACAGUACUGGUCAUAUCUGGAUUGAUCAAGGGCAAGAACCCCAGGACUCACAUGAAAAAGGAGAGCGUUUAGACAAAGCAAGGCCGGCCCUGCAGGGCCACAUAUUCUGCGAUCACAUGAUUCGAGCCGCUGACACCUGGGCACUCUGCAGUGCAGAACCUUCUGCCUUUAGCCUUGGUACUCAGUCUGGAUAAGGCCAAACAGGAUUGAGAACUCGACUCCCUGAUUCUAGCAACAGUAUUUAAAACUCCCUAGGAAGGGUAUUGCUUAGACACCACCCAAAUCUGCCUUUAAUCACAGGAAUGUGGCUCUCACCCAUCCUCUGGGCCCUAUUCAGUUUCAGUCUGCUCAAUUUGGGGGUGUGCUUGCUCUAGUACUGUACUUCCAAACUAAUUCGUCUGCAAGUAAGCCCUUUCCUUGGAGAGGAAAAAAGGCUUACUCCAAGAACUGAUGUGGGGAGUGGGCAAAAACAUGUGGAAGAAACACGGUCUCCCCUCACAAUUCCAAUGGGGAACUGUGCAGCAAGGCUGCAGAGCUGUGAGGGAGGGGGCCUGGAGCCCUGGUAAAAGGGCAUAUCUGAAAAGGUAGUUUCUGGGGGCACCUGGCCAAGAAAAGGAUGAAGUUGUUGCAGUCGUCAUUUCAAACACCAAGGCAGUAAGACCAGCAGAGGACCUGGAAGAGCCACAACCCCUUGUGGGACUUUGUGCUUUGAGUGGGCCUGGGAGAACGUGACACAGGGACAGUCUCUGACCUUCACCCGGAAGCACUGAGGGCUCAGGACGCCUUGUCCCCAGGAGGCCCCUGUGAAGUGAGGGCCACUCUGCCUGGAGGUGACGGGAGGGCUCUGCGCUGUCAACACUCCAGCCCAGUUCAAGUCUUAUAAAUGAUUCCUCAGAGAUUCUACAGCCUGAGCUCUCUGGAAGCUGUUUUGAGAAGUGUUCUCUCCCAGAAAGAGGCUUCUGCGUUCUUACCUCAGGAACCCCUUUGAACAUGGCUCUGAGAGCCAACCCCGAGAAAGCUAGUGUCAGAAUUCAGGAUACCCAUGCUCACCGCAAACACUUUUACCAGGGGCUUCACCAUCUCACAAGUGCCUACUGAGUCUUGGACUUCAGAGCAGGUUAAAAGCGUAUUAAUCUAGCAACUGUGUCAUUGAUGUAAUUCGUUCCACCAUGUGUGGUUUUAAGAAAGAACAUAUAAAUAUUCACAGUGACUCUGUCCAAUUGUGCCUCUCAUGUGUACUCAUAACCCUGGAGGAGGAGGCAGGAAUUCCAGGUGCUGCGGACAGCUUUCUGGCAAGAUGCCAUCUACUGUUAAUGGAAAAAAGACAAGCCGCAAGAAACCAAAGACUAAAUGAUGUCCUGCUUCCCCGCUAGCUAUCUCCUCUGCCCCGAGGGGAUGGGUUAAGCACAUCAAGAGGAAGCUCAGUACUAAAGAAAAAGGGAAAAUUCUCCAGGAGUCUGAGAUGAUCUGAGCGGGAUGAAAUGGCAUGAGGAAAAAUGCCACCGGCUUUGCACAGGGCAGUGACACACGGUCGGGAUUCUGACAGCACCUUUCUGAGAAGCAACUUGGGGAUUCAUUAUUGAGUCUUAUUAACUCACACAAGUUGAGGGCUAGGUAUACAAGGAUGCCUUUUGAGGAACAGACUAACAUGGAUUAUACAAAUGUUACGUAAAAUCAGUAAUUCUCAAGUAUAAUAAAAGAACAAAACAGACGGAUAAGAAUAAAUGUGCAUCCUUUUAGUAGGCUUAAGCCAUGUGUUUUGGGCAGACUUUUUUUUUUUUUGAAACGGAAUCUCGCUCUGUCACCCAGGCUGGAGUGCAUGCAAUGGCACAAUCUCAGCUCACUGAAACCUCUGCCUCCCGGGUUCAAGCGAUUCUCCUGCCUCAGCCUCUUGAGUAGCCGGGAUUACAGGCAUGCGCCACCACGUCUGGCUAAUAUAUAUAUAUAUAUUUUGUAUUUUUAGUAGAGAUGGGGUUUCACCAUGUUGGUCAGGCUGGUCUUGAAUGCCUAACCUCAGUGAUCUGCCCACCUCAGCCUCCCAAAGUGCUGGGAUUACAGGCGUGAGCCACUGUGCCCUGCCAGACUUUAAUGUUUUUAAAAGUGCGGCGCUUUUAGGGAGAUGAAGGAAAUGAACAUACUAUAAAUCUGCAGGCAUUUAAACCCCUCUGACAACAAUUAAGAUGGUGCAUUCACAAAGAAGCUUUAAAUCAAACAACCCAUAAUACUUGAUGUAGAAAAUGUUCCAGCUUCCAUAAUUCUUUAUUAAAUAUUUGACAAGUUGCAUCGCUUCUUUACAAUGACUUCAUUUUGUCACAUUAGUCUUUUGCUGUCAGGAAAACAAUCUACAGUUUCUCUUUAGAUCUCUCAAGAAAAAAGAAAAGCGAAAGGAUUGUUCUUCAAGAAAACUUCCUGUGUGUAUCAAAUUCAACCAUAUUUUAAAGCUAUUCUGACUGUGAAAAUGAGCAUUAUUCAUAAGUUGCCUUAAAAAAAAUUCAAGGUAGUUUGGUUUUUACCACUGUAUCAAAUAGUACUUGGCUUCCUAUUAGGAGGUGGGUUUAUAAUAAAAAGUUAUGAAACAUUGAGAAUUUAUUUGGAAUGCUUGAAACUCUUUUCACCUUAAAAGUCACUGUUUUUUUCAUGUUUCAUUUGAUGAUAGAUCCUGAAUUAAGAAAUGACAGCAAAUUAACAUCAUCUUCCUAGGGUUUUCUUAGGCUCCAAGGGUCGGAAUUCACAGGACACAGCUUGGAGAAAACUGUAGAAGGGACUAAACUCUCACCCCCUUUCGAAACCAGAUUACUCGAUAAAGGUAAAAAUGCUAUACAAAUAUAUACAAAUAUAUUUGGACAGCAUAUGUACGUAUAUAUGUAUAUAUAUUACAUACAGAGUAGUAAAGGAAGAACAAAGUCACGCAAAGUUAACAUGAAGGAAACCGUGACAAUCUAGGUGAAAUCAGUCUGAGUAAAAGGGGAAAACUGGCUUACACAGGAACACAUAUCUGCAGACACAGAGUUAUGGUCAUGAGGAAGGCUUCUGAUGCACUGGUACGGGGUUGAGAAUGCAGUGCACGUGAGGUUAGGCGCCAACAGCAAUGCUACUCCUUACACACAGAAAACCAACGAACAGAAAGACAUGCCUUUGAAACAUGCGUUGCUUUCAGUGGAACAUCUUUAACAAACAACAGAUGUUUAAUGAGGUUUGCUUGGAAAAUUUCAUGCCAACAGGAAGCUAACCCUUUUCUAGAAAACGUUCUCCAAGCUCCCGUCCUAAUGCCAUGGCACUUUCUCUGACAUACUGAGAACACUCUGGGGUGGGGGUGUGCGUAUGCAAAUGUAUAGACACUGUUCAUUAAGGCUUAUAUAAAUUAAAAAAGUGGUCCAAAGAAUAUCACAUUUUCCCCCAGUUUUAAAAUCUAAAGUACAAAGUGGAGUUUAUAAGGAUUUGUUUUUUAAAAACACAUCUCAGUCCUGAAAUUGGCAGUUCUGACAUGACUUAUCAGGAUGUACCCCAAUGCCUGAAUGACAGAGGUAGUGAUCUUCGGGGUCAGGGGAGGUCAGGAAGGGAGCAGGCGGGCAGUUACCCUGCACAGCGGCACCCUCUACUGGCAAGGCAGAAAAUGAUACCAGACAGCACCUCCCACCUCUCCCUCUUAAGUACAGGGGUGCAGGGGCAGGGUAAGGAGACAGAAGAAAGAGAACUAGCACAGUGUCACGUAGGGGCUGCAGAACUGAUUAACCCAGGCUCUCUUUAUACGUUUUUAAAUUUCAGAGGUGAGUACAAGACUUAGAAAUACAGGAGUCGACUGUUAAUGGGUAACUGUUAGAAUAAUUAAAAAGUUGCUGUGUAUGAACCUGGCUUUCGGGAGGACCAGUGUGGAUCUGGCAAGAUAGCAGCGGUGCACACUGUCUAUGCAACAAUGGGAGAUGUAGAAAAUGGUUCAAAUGUUUUGCACGCUGUUUCUCAGAAUCUGUCACUGUGAGGCCGGGUGCGGUGGCUCAUGCUUGUAAUCCCAGCACUUUGGAAGGCUGAGGCGGGAGGAUCACCUGAGGUCAGGAGUUCAAGACCAGCCUGGCCAGCAUGGUGAAACCAUCUCUACUAAAAAUACAAAAAUUAGCCAGGCGUGGUGGUGGGUGCCUGUAAUCCCAACUAUUCGGGGAGGCUGAGGCAGAAGAAUCGCUUGAAGCCAGGAGGCAGAGGUUGUGGUGAGCUGAGAUUGAGCCACUGCACUCCAGCCUGAGCUACAGAGCAAGACUCUGUCUCAGAAAUAAUAAUAAUAAUCUGUCCCUUUGUCCUUACAUGGGAGAAAUAAUACAUGCCAAGUUGCUCUGUAUCCCUCAUUGUCUGAAUUUAGGGAAUAUCUGAUGUCACCUUCUGAAGGGUCCUGGAAACAAAAACCAAGUGUCUUACCUUUGUUCUUGAGAUUUGUUAGAGGACUGGCUGCAGAGAAGCAUAAACAUUUCAGGCAAAAAGGAAAAGAGCACUGAAGCUGGGAAUACACCGCAACACAGACAAUGAAUGCCUCACUGCUGCCGGCUCCAGGGCCAGCAGUGGAGAGGCACAGGCUGUUGGACCUUCAUCCCGCCAGGUGCUCUUUCCACAUCCUUCCUCGGGCCAACAAGGGGCAGGAAUGGAAAUACCCGGGACCCACAGGCAGCUGUGAUAACUGAUGUUAAGAGACCCGCAACAGGCAGUGUGUGAGCUCCGGCACGUACUUCUCAGCCUCACGUAAGUGGCCCAUAAUAACUACAGCUUCAGCAGACAACUAAAGAGACUGCAUUAAGGUGAUUUCUCUGGCUAUAAAGAGAGCCUGGCCUGCAGAGCAGUGUGGCUGCUGGGAACUCUGGGAUAGGCAACACUGCCCUCUCUCCCCCAGGGCUACUCCCCGGGCAGGUCGAGGCCCAAGGAAUGACCCAGCAACUGCUCCUUACCCAGCACACUCUCUUUACUGCCACCUGCAAUUACGCUGUGAAGAUGACUGGGUGUGGCCAUCAUGAUUCAGAGAAAUCAAGAUCUAUGACCAUUUUAGGCAAAGAGAGAAACCUGGAGAAUUGCUGAGGACUACUGAACCUUGUUUUGCUUUUUUAAAAAAUACUAAAUCCUCACUUCA